UACGGGGGGAGCAAGCGUUGUUCGGAUUUACUGGGCGUAAAGGGCGCGUAGGCGGCCACCGCAAGUCGACUGUGAAAUCUCCGGGCUUAACCCGGAAAGGUCAGCCGAUACUGCGGGCUAGAGUGCAGAAGGGCAACUGGAAUUCGUCGGUGUAGCGGCGAAAUGCGUAGAUAUCGAGAGGAACACCUGCGGCGAAGGCGGG
This 202-nucleotide ribosomal RNA is filed under the name uncultured bacterium. RNAcentral's name for it is "partial 16S ribosomal RNA". It matches the Rfam family "Bacterial small subunit ribosomal RNA", at positions 524 to 725 of the family's 1533-position model. The record is from RNAcentral.